Long non-coding RNA from Strigops habroptila (Kakapo), 833 nucleotides. RefSeq lists it as uncharacterized. Lineage: Eukaryota; Metazoa; Chordata; Aves; Psittaciformes; Psittacidae. The transcript is spliced from 2 exons. The record is from RefSeq and is a predicted model, not a curated record.
CUUAUGGAGUAUAACACUGAGAGCAGUCUCUGUGUUCCUAUGUCUAUGCAGAUACUGACUAGGUCUCACCCCCUUGAUAAGAAAAUGUGUAGUAUAGUUGUUCAGAAACCAGCUAGAACAAAGGACAGAUAUGUUUUGUUCCUUUUACAUUAAAUAUAUUAAAGUUAGUUUUGUUCUACAGGUAUAAAAACUGAAGCAGAGAUAUAAUUUGAGUUGACCCUUAGCUAGUUUUGCCAGUUUCUUCAUCUGAGUUGUAGUAAAAUUCUUCCCCCUCUUCUGUCCUGCCCAGAAAUCAGUCAAUGGAUAAUUGAGAGUUGAGUUCACAAGUUAGUGAAAUGGAAAGGACUUCUAAUCUGGUGCUUGACAUGCCUUUUUAGGCAGUGUAUAUCUGUCCCUCUUCACCUGACUGAAAAUACAAGUAUUUGUUAAAAGGUGGAGCUAGAAAACAUUUAUGAGAUUUAUUAAUGCCAAGAGGAAUUUAUUAAAUUUCUAAGAGGAAAUUUACUUUUAUAGGUGAAAUAAACUCAGUUUUGCUCAGUUUGAGUCUGUUUGUUUCAGUAUUUAUAUUCUUGCUCCUCUGGGAAGGUUUAUUCUUUGUAAAAGUGUCCCAUUGACAUGGAGCUUAUUUUGCCCAGGCAGGCAUUCAUCUUUAUGUCCAUUUGGGUAAUGAUGCUGCAGCUGCACACCCAGCUUUUCUGUUCAUAAGUUUUUGACCAGUAUAAUGAAAUUUUGAGCUAGAGUAGUAUCAUCUUUAUGUAGUAUAACAGCUGAAACCCUGAUUUUCAUAGAAGUUCAAUUUAGAGAUGUUCACUAACAUCUUUAUUGGCUUCUAU